AUACGUAGGGGGCGAGCGUUGUCCGGAAUGAUUGGGCGUAAAGGGCGCGUAGGCGGCCUGUUAAGUCUGGAGUGAAAGUCCUGUUUUCAAGAUGGGAAUUGCUUUGGAUACUGAUGGGCUUGAGUGCAGGAGAGGUUAUCGGAAUUCCCGGUGUAGCGGUGAAAUGCGUAGAGAUCGGGAGGAACACCAGUGGCGAAGGCGGGUAACUGGACUGCAACUGACGCUGAGGCGCGAAAGUGUGGGGAGCAAACAGGAUUAGAUACCCUGGUAGUCCACGCCGUAAACGAUGAGUGCUAAGUGUUGGAGGGUUUCCGCCCUUCAGUGCUGCAGCUAACGCAUUAAGCACUCCGCCUGGGGAGUACGGCCGCAAGGCUGAAACUUAAAUGAAUUGGCGGGG
This 397-nucleotide ribosomal RNA is filed under the name uncultured bacterium. RNAcentral's name for it is "partial 16S ribosomal RNA". It matches the Rfam family "Bacterial small subunit ribosomal RNA", at positions 523 to 918 of the family's 1533-position model. The record is from RNAcentral.